AGUGAACGCUGGCGGUAGGCCUAACACAUGCAAGUCGAACGGCAGCACAGUAAGAGCUUGCUCUUACGGGUGGCGAGUGGCGGACGGGUGAGGAAUACAUCGGAAUCUACUUUUUCGUGGGGGAUAACGUAGGGAAACUUACGCUAAUACCGCAUACGACCUACGGGUGAAAGCAGGGGAUCUUCGGACCUUGCGCGAUUGAAUGAGCCGAUGUCGGAUUAGCUAGUUGGCGGGGUAAAGGCCCACCAAGGCGACGAUCCGUAGCUGGUCUGAGAGGAUGAUCAGCCACACGGGAACUGAGACACGGUCCAGACUCCUACGGGAGGCAGCAGUGGGGAAUAUUGGACAAUGGGCGCAAGCCUGAUCCAGCCAUACCGCGUGGGUGAAGAAGGCCUUCGGGUUGUAAAGCCCUUUUGUUGGGAAAGAAAAGCAGCAGGUUAAUACCCCGUUGUUCUGACGGUACCCAAAGAAUAAGCACCGGCUAACUUCGUG
RNAcentral lists this ribosomal RNA (492 nucleotides) under uncultured bacterium. Its description in RNAcentral is "partial 16S ribosomal RNA". It matches the Rfam family "Bacterial small subunit ribosomal RNA", at positions 29 to 507 of the family's 1533-position model. The record is from RNAcentral.